AUACGGAGGAUCCGAGCGUUAUCCGGAUUUAUUGGGUUUAAAGGGAGCGUAGGCUGUUCGACAAGUCAGGGGUGAAAGCCCAGUGCCUAACACUGGAACUGCCUUUGAUACUGCCGAGCUGGAAUACGGAUGCCGUGGGAGGAAUGAGUAGUGUAGCGGUGAAAUGCAUAGAUAUUACUCAGAACACCGAUUGCGAAGGCAUCUCACGAAUCCGUCAUUGACGCUGAGGCACGAAAGCGUGGGGAUCAAACAGGAUUAGAUACCCUGGUAGUCCACGCAGUAAACGAUGAUAACUAACCGUCGGCGAUACACAGUCGGUGGCCAAGCGAAAGCGAUAAGUUAUCCACCUGGGGAGUACGUUCGCAAGAAUGAAACUCAAAGGAAUUGACGGGG
Molecule: ribosomal RNA, 393 nt
Filed under: uncultured bacterium
Lineage: Bacteria
Description: partial 16S ribosomal RNA
Rfam family: Bacterial small subunit ribosomal RNA
Source: RNAcentral